GCGGGGAUAGCUCAGCUGGGAGAGCGUCAGACUGAAGACAGAACUUCGGUUCCAUUAUAUCUGAAGGCCGGGUGUUCGAGCCACCCUCACCGCA
This is a transfer RNA of Microdochium bolleyi, 94 nucleotides long. It matches the Rfam family "tRNA". From Rfam's summary of the family: Transfer RNA (tRNA) molecules are approximately 80 nucleotides in length. The record is from Rfam. Lineage: Eukaryota; Fungi; Ascomycota; Sordariomycetes; Xylariales; Microdochiaceae.